AGCCAUGUAGUAAGCACAAAGCGAACUAUUCCUUCGCCUUUUACUAAAGAAUACCGUGUGCUUGCUACUACUUAAUAGUGGCAUACGCUUAUUUUUGGAGGGCUAAUCUUACUAGAUUAC
Manihot esculenta (cassava) is the source of this 120-nucleotide small nuclear RNA. RefSeq annotates it as U5 spliceosomal RNA. The record is from RefSeq and is a predicted model, not a curated record. Lineage: Eukaryota; Viridiplantae; Streptophyta; Magnoliopsida; Malpighiales; Euphorbiaceae. The transcript has a single exon.